This 322-nucleotide long non-coding RNA is filed under the name Capsicum annuum. RNAcentral's name for it is "long non-coding RNA (CANN_LNC012249)". Lineage: Eukaryota; Viridiplantae; Streptophyta; Magnoliopsida; Solanales; Solanaceae. The record is from RNAcentral.
AAAGAUUUUUCCAACAAUUUUCUCAAGUUGGUUGAUUGUAAUCUCCCUUGGAACAUAUGCUUCAUUUAAUACCUUCAGUAAAACAUCACGAUGCUCCUUGGAGUGCAACAGCAAAGAUAAAACGGAAAUUUGAGCAGGGGUUUUCUUCAACUGGUCUAAUAUUGAAUACUCUGGCAAUUUCAUCUUUUUCAAAAAUUCUUCGGCUUCUUCUUCGGUGAUAGGCUUUUUGAUAGAUGACGGUCCACUCACCGUUGGCUUGGACUUUCUUAAGCUUUCAGGCACGAAGCAUCUUCCUGACCUAGUCAAACCCCCUACCUCAUCU